This 45-nucleotide non-coding RNA is filed under the name Schistosoma mattheei. The record is from RNAcentral. Lineage: Eukaryota; Metazoa; Platyhelminthes; Trematoda; Strigeidida; Schistosomatidae.
AUCCGGCUGACAAGUCACAAAUAGGACGAAACGCGCGUUCUGGAU